UGGGGAAUUUUGGACAAUGGGCGCAAGCCUGAUCCAGCAAUGCCGCGUGAGUGAAGAAGGCCUUCGGGUUGUAAAGCUCUUUUGUCAGGGAAGAAACGGCUGUGGCUAAUAUCCACGGCUACUGACGGUACCUGAAGAAUAAGCACCGGCUAACUACGUGCCAGCAGCCGCGGUAAUACGUAGGGUGCAAGCGUUAAUCGGAAUUACUGGGCGUAAAGCGUGCGCAGGCGGUUUUGUAAGUCUGUCGUGAAAUCCCCGGGCUCAACCUGGGAAUUGCGAUGGAGACUGCAAGGCUAGAAUCUGGCAGAGGGGGGUAGAAUUCCACGUGUAGCAGUGAAAUGCGUAGAGAUGUGGAGGAACACCGAUGGCGAAGGCAGCCCCCUGGGUCAAGAUUGACGCUCAUGCACGAAAGCGUGGGGAGCAAACA
This 427-nucleotide ribosomal RNA is filed under the name uncultured bacterium. RNAcentral describes it as "partial 16S ribosomal RNA". It matches the Rfam family "Bacterial small subunit ribosomal RNA", at positions 355 to 774 of the family's 1533-position model. The record is from RNAcentral.